This is a small nucleolar RNA of Puntigrus tetrazona (Sumatra barb), 76 nucleotides long. RefSeq annotates it as small nucleolar RNA SNORD83. Lineage: Eukaryota; Metazoa; Chordata; Actinopteri; Cypriniformes; Cyprinidae. The transcript has a single exon. The record is from RefSeq and is a predicted model, not a curated record.
GCCACAUGAUGCGAGACAGAUUGCAUGAGCGUUACUGCAAAGAUGACCAUCUAUCUAUCACCCAAGACUGAUGGCU